This 1081-nucleotide long non-coding RNA is filed under the name Heterocephalus glaber (naked mole-rat). Its description in RNAcentral is "lncRNA (ENSHGLG00100039935.1)". The record is from RNAcentral. Lineage: Eukaryota; Metazoa; Chordata; Mammalia; Rodentia; Bathyergidae.
GUCAUCUUCACCUGGAGAAGCAAAGCAGAGCUAUUUUCAGAUCAGUUGUGAAGAUAGGCUCAGCUUCAGCUAUUUCUACUGAUGGGAAAUGCUAUCUUGCAUAAAUAUUCCAUAAUUAUAUGCUAGUCAUUGUAUCCAGACUGUGCAGUAUGUCUGUUCCUCUCACAUUUGCAGAAGAGCAGCUCAGCAGCUACAAAACUGACAAAUUCAAAAUGUAGUUUUUAGUAACCUAAUGAUGGAGGUAAACUUUUCACCUUCAGCUUUUUCUCCUUUGGAGGUUAGUCAUUUCAAGCACAGAAGUUGCAAGAUUUCUUGGGAAGACUGAAGAUGCAGGGAAGUGCAUCAGCAAGUGUCACUGGCUCAGUCCCAGCUGACAGUGACAGGGAAAGAUGUGAUGUGUAUGGGGUGAAUUAUAGAAUGUCCCUAAUCACGAUGUGCCCUAGUAACCAGUGGAUGUGAUGGUAAGGAACAGGUGAUGAGUUGUAAACUUCUGUCUCCUACUAAUUGUAGAGAUGAGACUGAUAGACACAGGAGACUAGAACACUCUGCAAAAAGAAGCCAUGAGCAUUUGACACUUGUGAUUAUUGCCAUGCUGAAAGUUGCCCAUUCUGGUUCUUUUCUUACAUCUUUGGUUACUUCUAAGUAAAAUUGUAUCACCCGGAUCAGUAAUACUUAUUGAUUUUCCUGAGGAAUGUUCAGUAGUGAAGCUUCUCCCUGCCACGUGCAAAGCGCUGUUACAUGGUCUCCUUGUUCUGUGGUCAGAUGGGAGUGGAGGUAGAAAGAGCUAUGAUUUUAAAUGACAGAAGACUGAAGAUGGAGACUCCCACUUUGUUACUUGCUCUCUCACCCGACAGGAAGGAAACUAUUACUUUUCUUAAGCUGCUGCGGCAUCUGGAAAAAUGAUAAUCAAUUGCAACCAGCUGUUUUCUCUCUCUUGACUACGACUCAAUCUGAUGCUGUCAUCAUUCCCAUUAGUAGCCAGUCCACAUGACACAAAGGAAAGGAUGGCAACGAAUCUCCCAACAUGACCUAAAAGCAAAGAUAGUACAAUAAAUCAAAACUUGCACUAAAACUACAAAGG